Molecule: long non-coding RNA, 712 nt
Filed under: Danio rerio (zebrafish)
Lineage: Eukaryota; Metazoa; Chordata; Actinopteri; Cypriniformes; Danionidae
Description: lncRNA si:ch211-256e16.9 (ENSDARG00000097851.2)
Source: RNAcentral
UGUAAGAAUCCAAAAUAUCAGACCCUGAGAACUGUUAUGGAAUUUUCAUGAGACAAGAUGCAGUGCUCCAAUGCACUUUCUAAUCUGAGAAAUGAUGAAGAAAGCAGCUGUUCAGCUGUUCAAUUCAAAUCACUGUUGACAAUGCAAACUUAGGCUAGAGAAACAGAGCUACACUACAGCAGGGGGUAAUGCGAGAAAGUCAUCCUUCUCCUUCCACCUCAAGCCCCCCUUCUUGACCCUUAUGUUACCUUCUGAUUAGAGCACAUUUCACAUAAAAUGUUCAAGGUUUUAAUAUGGUUUAUCUUGCAGCACUAUAUUCAUGUUUGGUAACAUUUUAAAUGUCUCUGUGUGAUUGGUAAAGUGGUCUUAUUUUACAGUAAUAUUUCACUGGUAUAUGUUGAUUGGGUUUUUGACAUAGAUAAGAUCUUCACAAGAUGCUCUCCCUCCUCAGAGAUGGUUAAGUCCUCAAAUUCACCAGGCAAGGGUUUCUGUGACACUUCUAUUGUCUUGAAUUUAUGGGUGUUUGUUUUGACUUGAGUAUAUAAGGUAAAGAUGUGAUAUGGGUCAGGGGGAUCUUGUAAAAAGACACCCCAUUGCAGUAUCUCUGAGACUUAUGCUGCAAUGUAUUUCUCUGGUCAGGUUUGCAUCUAUAAUUCUUGGAUUUAUCUUUGAUUAAUGGAUGUUGUAUUGCUACAGUCUCAUCUCUGAAUUG